RNAcentral lists this ribosomal RNA (283 nucleotides) under uncultured bacterium. Its description in RNAcentral is "partial 16S ribosomal RNA". It matches the Rfam family "Bacterial small subunit ribosomal RNA", at positions 123 to 406 of the family's 1533-position model. The record is from RNAcentral.
AACCUACCCAGAACUGGGGGAUAGCCCGCCGAAAGGCGGAUUAAUACCGCAUAAGCUUUGCUCUUGGCAUCAGGAGUUCAGUAAAGAUUUAUUGGUUUUGGAUGGGGUUGCGUGCCAUUAGCUAGUUGGUGAGGUAACGGCUCACCAAGGCGACGAUGGCUAGGGGAGCUGAGAGGCUGGUCCCCCACACGGGCACUGAGAUACGGGCCCGACUCCUACGGGAGGCAGCAGUAGGGAAUAUUGGGCAAUGGUCGAGAGACUGACCCAGCCAUGCCGCGUGCAG